CCCUUAGAUGUUCUGGGCCGCACGCGCGCUACAAUGAUGAAUUCAACGAGUUUAUAACCUUGGUUGAAAAGCCUGGGUAAUCUUUUGAACUUUCGUCGUGAUGGGGCUAGACCCUUGCAAUUAUUGGUCUCCAACGAGGAAUUCCUAGUAAACGCAAGUCAUCAGCUUGCAUUGAUUACGUCCCUGCCCUUUGUACACACCGCCCGUCGCACCUACCGAUUGAAUGGUCCGGUGAAAUCUUCGGAUUGAGACUUUGAUUUCUUCACGGAAAACGCUGUUUUAAAAAGUUGAUUAAACCUUACCAUUUAGAGGAAGGUGAAGUCGUAACA
This 329-nucleotide ribosomal RNA is filed under the name uncultured eukaryote. RNAcentral's name for it is "partial 18S ribosomal RNA". It matches the Rfam family "Eukaryotic small subunit ribosomal RNA", at positions 1470 to 1796 of the family's 1831-position model. The record is from RNAcentral.